Molecule: ribosomal RNA, 432 nt
Filed under: uncultured bacterium
Lineage: Bacteria
Description: partial 16S ribosomal RNA
Rfam family: Bacterial small subunit ribosomal RNA
Source: RNAcentral
AACGAACGCUGGCGGCAUGCCUAACACAUGCCAGUCGAACGAGACCUUCGGGUCUAGUGGCGCAAGGGUGCGUAACGCGUGGGAACCUGCCCUUAGGUUCGGACUAACUCCCCGAAAGGGGUGCUAAUACCGGAUAAUGUCUUCGGACCAAAGAUUUCUCGCCUUUGGAUGGGCCCUCGUUGGAUUAGCUAGUUGUUAGGGUAUAAGCCUCCCAAGGCUACGAUCCAUCGCUGGUCUGAGAGGAUGAUCAGCCACACUGGGACGUCGACACGGCCGAGACUCCUACGGGAGGCAGCAGUGCGGAAUAUUGAACAAUGGGCGAAAGCCUAAUACAGCCACGCCGCGAGAGUGAUUGAUGAGUUAGGGUUGUAAAUCUCUUUUACCCGAGAUGAUAAUGACAGUCCCGAGAGAAUAAGCUCCGCCUAACACCAU